This 414-nucleotide ribosomal RNA is filed under the name uncultured bacterium. RNAcentral's name for it is "bacterial SSU rRNA". It matches the Rfam family "Bacterial small subunit ribosomal RNA", at positions 355 to 786 of the family's 1533-position model. The record is from RNAcentral.
UGGGGAAUAUUGCACAAUGGGGAAGACCCUGAUGCAGCGACGCCGCGUGAGCGAUGAAGUAUUUCGGUAUGUAAAGCUCUAUCAGCAGGGAAGAAAAUGACGGUACCUGACUAAGAAGCCCCGGCUAACUACGUGCCAGCAGCCGCGGUAAUACGUAGGGGCGAAGCGUUAUCCGGAUUUACUGGGUGUAAAGGGAGCGUAGACGGCAUGGCAAGCCAGAUGUGAAAUACCGGGGCUCAACCCCGGAGCUGCAUUUGGAACUGUUGAUCUUGAGUACCGGAGGGGUAAGCGGAAUUCCUAGUGUAGCGGUGAAAUGCGUAGAUAUUAGGAGGAACACCAGUGGCGAAGGCGGCUUACUGGACGGUAACUGACGUUGAGGCUCGAAAGCGUGGGGAGCAAACAGGAUUAGAUACC